UACGUAGGACGCAAGCGUUAUCCGGAUUUAUUGGGUUUAAAGGGUGCGUAGGCGGACCCAUAAGUCAGUGGUGAAAUACUGUCGCUCAACGAUAGCAUUGCCAUUGAUACUGUGGGUCUUGAGUACAGUUGAGGUAGGCGGAAUGUGUAGUGUAGCGGUGAAAUGCUUAGAUAUUACACAGAACACCGAUUGCGAAGGCAGCUUACUAAGCUGAAACUGACGCUGAGGCACGAAAGCGUGGGGAU
RNAcentral lists this ribosomal RNA (245 nucleotides) under uncultured bacterium. RNAcentral's name for it is "partial 16S ribosomal RNA". It matches the Rfam family "Bacterial small subunit ribosomal RNA", at positions 524 to 768 of the family's 1533-position model. The record is from RNAcentral.